UGCAAAUUGGGCAAAUCCCAGGACUCAUUAGU
RNAcentral lists this non-coding RNA (32 nucleotides) under Mus musculus (house mouse). The record is from RNAcentral. Lineage: Eukaryota; Metazoa; Chordata; Mammalia; Rodentia; Muridae.